GACGAACGCUGGCGGCGUGCUUAACACAUGCAAGUCGAACGAUGAAGCCGGAGCUUGCUCUGGUGAAUUAGUGGCGAACGGGUGAGUAACACGUGAGUAACCUGCCCUUGACUCUGGGAUAACUGCUAGAAAUGGUAGCUAAUACCGGAUACGACCCUCGGAGGCAUCUUCAGGGGGUGGAAAGAAUUUCGGUCAAGGAUGGACUCGCGGCCUAUCAGCUAGUUGGUGAGGUAAUGGCUAACCAAGGCGACGACGGGUAGCCGGCCUGAGCGGGUGACCGGCCACACGGGGACUGGGACACGGCCCAGACUCCUACGGGAGGCAGCAGUGGGGAAUAUUGCACAAUGGGCGCAAGCCUGAUGCAGCAACGCCGCGUGAGGGAUGACGGCCUUCGGGUUGUAAACCUCUUUUAGUAGGGAAGAAGCGAAAGUGACGGUACCUGCAGAAAAAGCACCGGCUAACUACGUGCCAGCCGCCGCCGUAA
This 484-nucleotide ribosomal RNA is filed under the name uncultured bacterium. Its description in RNAcentral is "partial 16S ribosomal RNA". It matches the Rfam family "Bacterial small subunit ribosomal RNA", at positions 28 to 523 of the family's 1533-position model. The record is from RNAcentral.